Molecule: ribosomal RNA, 459 nt
Filed under: uncultured bacterium
Lineage: Bacteria
Description: SSU rRNA
Rfam family: Bacterial small subunit ribosomal RNA
Source: RNAcentral
AGAAUCAACGCUGGCGGCGUGCCUAACACAUGCAAGUCGAACGAGAAAGUGGAGCAAUCCAUGAGUAAAGUGGCGCACGGGUGAGUAACACGUGACUAACCUACCCUUGAGUGGGGGAUAACCUAGAGAAAUCUGGGCUAAUACCGCAUAAUACCUUCGGGUCAAAGGAGCAAUUCGCUUAAGGAGGGGGUCGCGGCCGAUUAGUUAGUUGGCGGGGUAAUGGCCCACCAAGACUAUGAUCGGUAUCCGGCCUGAGAGGGCGCACGGACACACUGGAACUGAAACACGGUCCAGACUCCUACGGGAGGCAGCAGUGGGGAAUUUUGCGCAAUGGGGGAAACCCUGACGCAGCAACGCCGCGUGGAGAUGAAGUCCCUUGGGACGUAAACUCCUUUCGAUCGGGACGAUAAUGACGGUACCGAGAGAAGAAGCCCCGGCUAACUUCGCGCCAGCAGCCGC